This 212-nucleotide unclassified non-coding RNA is filed under the name Hevea brasiliensis (rubber tree). The record is from RNAcentral. Lineage: Eukaryota; Viridiplantae; Streptophyta; Magnoliopsida; Malpighiales; Euphorbiaceae.
GUUUGAUUUGGCAUUCCCUGUGAUGAUGCAUGGGCUAAUCCAUUCUGAGAACCACGUCCAGAGGAGCCAUUCUGGGGUACCUCAUCAAGAGAUUCUUGUCCACUGCCUGCCUUAUGUUGUGAAUCAUUCUGAGAAUUAGCAUCACUAUCACUAGAACCUUCACUCCCACUAUCCCCACUAUGAGAGUAAUUGCCAUUGGCCGAUGCACCUGA